CGCACCAGUUGGGAGAGUCCAGGUCUUUAACCUAGGAGAUCCUAACAGGAGAAGCCAUACUUAAACAAAGAUGGGACUUUCUCUAAGAGCCAAAAGGACAACACUAGAGUGUGAAGAACUGAACUCUUCACUGGACAGUAAGUAAACACAGAGAACGAUGCCUAAUUCCAUCCUGUCCUGUGCUUGUCGAACAUGUCUACUGUGAAGUGGACACAUCAGGAGGAAACAGACCCAUGAACCGACAUUUGCUGCUGCUGAAAAUUAUUUAUCUUGACAAUUCAUAACAUUGGAGAAAAUUUUUUCAAGAGCUGGAGAACAGAAAUAUUGUAAGCGUUCACCUCUGUGAGCCAUGGGAGGCUCUGAGGCCGUGUUGCCAUCUUCCCUGCGUAUCACCAGUUUGUGUUUCUAGAUAGAGUGUGUUCAUACUUAGCCCUUGGGGCCUUUGAAUUUCUAAAACGUCUUUGUAAAGAUCUUGAUGUUCUCCAGUGACAAGCGUUUGGGUUUGCAGUCAUAUAUCCCAAGAACAUCGGUCCAACGGAAUUCCUUUUGUGGCUUGGGGAAAAUUGGGAAAUUUGACUCUUGUUUCACCAUGUAUCAAUUGAUGACAACGUCAACAGUUGGCACUUCCUGAAGCUUCGGAGGGUAGAGAAAUAUGUGGAGGGUGUCUGUGUAGAAAAGGACAUGCUCUUCUGAGUGUUCUGUCGAUUUUAUAAAUUCUGCAGAGGUGUUGCUCUAAGCCUUUGAAAAGCUAGCGGUUUGUGUGUAGAAGGCUUCUUGAUUUGUAGUCCGUCAAGAAUCUGAAUAGAACCUAAUCUACAUUCAAGAGAGGGAAAGAGAUCAAUGGCCUGGGCCUCUCUCCUUCUCUGCCGAGGCACGUCCAUCCAUGUUAUCACCUAUCCGUUCCUUAAAAUGAAAGCACUUUCUUUAGAGAGUUUCCGCUCAUCAUAGGGUGCAUGUGUUUAUGUUUAGGAGCUGACACCACUGGUGGAUUUCCUGUUUUCCCAUUGUUUUCUUUGACUGUGACAUUUCGGAGGGGCUUGACCGCCUCCUCCUCCCCCCCCCUCCCCCGCCCCAAAUAGCCACAGUGGGAUAAAACAACAAAUGUGAAAAGAUCAGAUGGUCAUAUUAAUUUGAAGCAUAUUAUUAUCCUUCACAAAAACGUGGCUGGGCCUGAGAAUUUUAAUGCCACACGGUUUUCGUGAGAGAGAGAGAAGGAGAGAGAGAGAGAGGCCUUAAUUUUGAUUUCAUUUAAAAUGAAGUAUUUUUUAAAUGUUUCAUGCAUAGUGCCAGGGAAUUCAAUGAAAUAAUACCUGGGAUGCGAAUAGAAUUCAACACACUGGUAACUAUGCCCGGCCAGUGGAGAGAGCCCCAAAACUGGUUGGGAAGCCCUAGCUGUCUGUUAGCAUCCCUUAUAGAUCAUAAAGGCCUUUUUGGGGGGGAAGACCUGGAGCAGUGAUCCUUCAGAUUGCUGUGGGCAGAGCAGUGGCUCCUCUUUUAUGCUUUUUCAAUUCAGCAUAUUAACCACGAGGAGCCCGGUACUACUUCCCCACAUCCCGUUGUACCAAGAUUUUAUGAUCCUAUAACCCAGUAGGUUUUACUCAUACAAACUUCUAUCUAUGUAAAUUUUUAAAAUGGGAACGGCUUCUAAAGACCCUUCCCCAUGUUGGAGAGUUAUGUAUAUUUCUAAUAAGUAUUAAAGAGAAGCUGUUUCUCCUGCCAAAAUGACGCUGAAGGAUUCACAUUUGGUAGAUUUGACCAAGUUGGACUCCAGAUGGUUAAUAGUUUAUUCCCUUUCCCUGGAUUUUUUUUAGCUCAUCUUGACGCAGGUGAGUCUAUCCAGAUCUUUAAAGUCGCUAGUGUGCCCUGAGGUGAUGAGGGCACACCGUCGAAUGUUGAUUCCAAAAUGUCCUGAGAUAGGGAUAGGGCAGUGGGGAAGUCAGGGAAGGGUGAGAAGCACAGUAGAGAUUAUUUAUUUAAGAAAGAAAAGAACAUUAAUGUCGUAGCAUGGAUCCGGUACGUUGUCAUAAUCCCAUGAGGAUUUUUGGAUGACACGAUCCCCUCAAAUCAGUCACCAUGUUGGGUAAUGACUUCGUUCUUGCUGAUCUUGUCUAUGUGUCAUUGUAAAUAUUUGUGUGUCCAUGUUCCAUUUUGGCUACUGGAUGGCCAAGUCAUGUAAGAAGAUUUAACUCAAGUAUUUAUUCUUUAAUUGUGUUAUCCAGAUUUCUUUCAGGCUUGUGAAUUGCACCCCAAUGUUUGAGUUUAACCACCUGAUCCCCACAUCGUUCCCUCCCCUGUGAAGCACAUUCCAUUGCUAAAAGAAAAAGAAAUAUGAAAUUGCUUCCUGUCGUCUGUAUAACUGUUUUGAUAGUUUGAGAUGUUUGUCUAUAAAGGAUAUUUCUCAGCUCAAAGAUCGUGUAAAUAAUUAUAUUCCUUUGCUCAGUGGGUUGUUUAUUUCUAAUGAGGCUGCCAGUUCUGAGAGAGAAUCUCUAAAAUCACCUUUAAAGAACGUAAACAGGGAUUACAACUAUGUAAAAAUAAACAUGCAUAUGAACAAAGACUGGGAACACAGAUAAUGGAAACCGGUUGUGUUCAGGCGGUGGGAUUAUGUGAAUUUGUUUUUUCCUUUGGACAGUUUUCUUUGAUGUUGUUAUAAUAUUGCUUUAUAAUAAAUAAACAUCAGAAAGGGGGACUGUAGAAACAUAGAAAAGAUGCCAGAAGCAGGUGCCUUCUGGCCAGAGCCCAGAGCAUGCAGGGCACAGGUAUUUGCUAGUUACAAUUAUUCCAUAGGCUUUCUCUUUGCCUGGGUGCUGAGGUUGGCACAUGCUUGGGUAUGGCACGUGCUUUCUUAGGGGACUGUUAUCUACAAAUUAAAGCUAGGAGAUGUCGCUCUUGGAACUCCAAACACAUCCUUCGGUUUUGGUUCCGUUAGGUUGGAAGGGUGACCUUUGAUUAGCUCCCUUGAUAACAUCCGUUUCAGCUAUCACCUUUCUGGAUCAUUUUAGCAGAUUUUCAGGCUGAAUUUUGGAAGAAGGAUAAAAUCCACAGCUCCCCCCUUUUCCUUUUCCACCAGGAUAUAUUGUCAUUCAGGUAGGGUUUUUUUUUUUUUUAAACCGAACAGUGGGCAGGUCCUGUCGAUUUCAAUAGAAGACAGGGCUUGCAUUUCGAAGCUGACUAUGGAAACAUUAAGACAAAUAUUUAGAACUGCCUUUGCCUGUUGGCAUUCAGUCACACUCCUUUUAAAUGGCCUGAGAUGGCAGGUGGCCUCUAUGUGCUUUCUGUCCUGCCUGAUUACAGGUCGUAUGCAGUAAACUACUGUCGUUUUUAAAGAGCAAAAGGGAGACUAUCUACCCAAAGAGAGGAAUUUCCUUCUAACUCACCAAAGAAAUUUUAGGUGAGGACUUUGAUCAUGCAGUAGUGGCCUCAGAUGUUGCCUAGUUUCACCAAGAGCAGACCUUAUACCUAGAGAACCCACAGACUUUUCUUUGUCCAUCCUCAGCAUAUAUCUACUUAUAAGAGCCCUAACCCUGCCAUCCCCAGUUGAAUCUCAUGGUCCUUUUCUGAGCUACUUGCAAUUUAUAUUCGGUUGAGUAAAGGCAUGGUCAGUGAUGCCAACUUCUCCCCGUCUCUGAGCAAAAGGACCGACAUUCAGCAUUUAUAAAUCGACAGCCUAAUAGACUUGGGAUUUUGAGUGAACUUAACACACAAUUCUGAACCUAGAUUUGCAUGUGGAUUGGGAAGGAAACAAGUGGGACCUUGGAAAUAAUGGAAAUAUUUUUCCAAAGAAAGAAUUUUUCAUAGGAAAUUUGUUUCUGAUAUAAUCUUUCUGUUGGUUAGCUUUCAUUUUUUUCCUACUCCUUUUCUGAUCCCACCCUUCUUUAGUGACUAAAUGAAUAUAACCCAGCUCCUCAUGCAUCGGGAAUGUCUGUUUAAUAUUCUAAAAUAUCUAACUGAAUUUGCAAAUGCGGGCACUGAGAUGUCACUUCCACAUGCACACUUCCAUGUUCAAGUAGACCAAAAUAACAACAAAUAGCAUUUACUGCCACAUAACAGAGUCACACUUGCAAGAUCAACUUCUCGAAACUGGCGAAUGCCAUCAGAAGUCUCCUUUGGAAGCUGCCAUCAGGUAAAUGCUAUCCCAUAAUGCCAGUGGUACAGCAGGUACCAUGUUCAGCUGAUUUAGGACCUAAGAGGAAAUCAACAGCCAUUAGAAUUAGUCAGGUUCGAGAUGUAGAUCAGAUGUAGUGGGAAAAGUACUAGCCUAGAAGUAACGAUACCUGCAUUCUAUAUGGGCUCUAUUACUAACUUAGUGUGACCUUGGGCAAGUCACUUAACCAUGUUGCAGCUGUUCCUUCAUCGAUAAAAUAGGGGUAUGGGACUAGAUUUCCAAGGCUUUCCAAAAGCUUGAACAUUCUGUGGUACUCCAGAUGGCCAUGCUAAUUCAACCUACUGAAGUGAUGGCAAAUAUCGCAUGCCUAAGCCUGGGUCUCUUAUGUUGCAGUUAAACAAUAGAACUAUGUGAGAUGAAGCCAAAAACAAAAAAAAAAAAAAAACAAAACAAAACCCAAACCUCAAGUGAAUGAAGUUAAUAAUACUAGGGAAUGUUGAUAAAACUUGUGGCAGCCUUCCAAUUCCUUCACAGUUGUUUUGUUUUUGUUUUACUGUUCUUUUUCUGUUGUGUGUUCCCAGUUUUUCAUUUUCCAUACACUCUGUCUGCAGAGUCUGGUUUUCCUUAAGCUGUGGCCCGUAUUUGCUACUAGAACAGAAAUACACUGUCACACUUGCUAGAAUAGAACUCUACUUGCCUCUUCUGUCCUAUGAAGCGGUGUUGGGCUUUAUAGAGUUUACUUCGUAAAUGGCACAAGAUGGCAGCACCCAUGCAUGUGCAUGGCUGAGACUUCUGAGUGGGCCUAAGCACUUGCAGCUUGCAGAGAGGAAAAGGAAAAAGUGAUUACAUGCUAUUUGCAAUAAGGAGUGUUGACAAAUCCACUUGUUGGGAGCCAAAGAUAGCAUUUCCGAUGACAACUCCCACAGGGAUGGGCCAGCUGGAUGAGCAUGCUCCUGGAAAGAGGAUAAACUGGUAGUUAGUGGACAGUCCCAAUACCCUGCCUACAGCGGUGCCAACCAGCCCUGAGUGUGAAAUUCAAGUUCAGUGUGUGUGCUUGUGUAUGGUGUGCUUUAUGGACCCGCAUAUCCUAUAUUCAUUAGUGAUGAUAAGACCUUUCACAAAAGUCUAUAACCAUUAGUGGGUUGAGUUUUAAAUCUCAGUACAUCGGCAAGGAAGAGACAGAUCACAGGGUCGUGAUGUGUACUGGGAUUAUACUCAUGAUAUCCAGACAAAACGAGUUGAGGAGGAUCUAGAUUUCCAUUGUUUAUCAGAAUUGUAUCUCCUUUGGCUGUGCUUUACUUUUGUUAAAAUGUGUUAUCUGUAAACCUAUGUGUAGUGAAAUUCUUCUGUAACUUUGGAUUAAAGGUAUUUAUGGUCUUUUUGUUUGUUGGGUUUUUAAGUAAGUUAUUUCUUUUGUAGACCUGCUGAUGGUGUGGUUCCAUCUUUCUGACCUCAGCAUCUGAUCUUUUUAAGGACUUUGAUUUCCAAUCUUGUUAUUUUAAAUUGUGGUUGAAGCAAUAGAAAAUUGAAAUAUGGAUUGUGCAUGACUGUGUCUUGAGUGUAAAAAUAUUGCAGUUUGAAACUUGGACCUAAAGUAUUGCAAAUAAAAAUGACAAAC
RNAcentral lists this long non-coding RNA (5723 nucleotides) under Sus scrofa (pig). RNAcentral describes it as "lncRNA (ENSSSCG00000055276.1)". The record is from RNAcentral. Lineage: Eukaryota; Metazoa; Chordata; Mammalia; Artiodactyla; Suidae.